UAAUACAAAUUAUCUACUGUUUUUGUGGUUUUGUGUGGAUUUUUGUGGAGAAUUCUCGCUGUUUUAUGAGGAUUGAUAGAAAAUACUUGAGAUCUACGAGUGUUUCCUAUCACUUUCAUGGCAAUAUUGGAAUUUUGAAGGUUGUAUAGGAUAUGAUUUUGAAUAAUAUGUGAUUCAUCACCAAAAAUUGCCUUGAUUUGGCACGAAUCCUGAGGCAUAUUUAUAUUGGAAUCUUCUGAUAUUAAAUUCGGGACCAUCAAACUCUGAUUUCAUCAAACAUAUAGUUGAACUGAAUAUCUCUAAUGAAUCCUAUGACAUCAAAAUUAGUAAUCCAAGCCAAAAUGGGUCCAAUUCUAGGGGUUGAAGUAUAUUUGAAAUCCUCAUAAUAUAAAUUGGGUGACCAAAUGACCUAUAAAUCUGGUAUGCUUAAUGUCAGAUCCAGCCGCUCAACUAGUUGAAUCUAGUGUGAUUGAUUCUUACAUUAUUUAAGCUAAUUAAUGUUGAGAAUUUCUCUUUAUCGUUGUAGUUGAACUUGGGUUUAUCUGAACAUGAUGAUGUGAUCCAUCAACCCCUCUUUUAUUGUUGCCGGUAGAACCUGAGGAUGAAGUGGGAAUCAGUCUGUUAGCUGCUUAAAUUACUCAAAUCCUCCUUGUGAAGGAUUUUUGCAAAGUCCUUCGAAAGCAGGCAGUGUCUGCUGCUUUUGGUAGUCAAACCUUAAUACUUGUCUGUGUUUUGUUGAUGGCGAGGCAUAUUGACGACCUCAAUUGGCAAGUUGUUUAGUUUAUUAACGUGUUGAUGUUUUAUGGCUUAAGGGUUGUUUAGUUGCUAAUUGUGUUAAUCAAAUGGGAUCAAACCAUAUUUAAUAACUUGUAUGUUAAAUGAUUUAUUUAUUUACUAUUGUUCCGCCUUGGAAUAUUCGUGGUGAUGGAGAAAUAUAAAGUUUAAUGUCUUAGCUUUAUAUAAAGAUUCAACACACAAUCAGAUAAAAGAAUGUGUAGUCUGUAUAAGAGACAUCUAAGUUUUUACGUGAAAAGCCCUAAAAGGGGGAAAACUAUGGGGCUCUGCCUAGUUUGAAUGAAUUCACUAGUGUUUGUAGUUAAUUACAAAUGAGGCUCUUCCCGGGGGGAGGCCUUGGCUUGAUGUAGCAAAUAUACAUCAUGUAGAGUGCAUUACAUCAUGGUGGGAAUUGGAAGAAUUAGUAUUGACAUAUUUGUUUGGUCGACAGAGUGGCCUUUGCUGUCACGAUCCACUGAGAUCUGGCCCUAUAUUGCAGCAGAUUCGUAUCAUAAUAAAAGAAAAAUAGUACAAAAGUUGUGUACUAGAAAAAAAAUGGUUUGUUUGGUCAGCAAGAUCAUAGGAGGCAGGCGACUCAGGGCGGAAAGAUUAUACUCAAAGAUUAUACUCAGGUGACAGUGGUCGGAAGGACCGUAGUUGGCGAGCGAUGGAGAUCGGAAAGACUGUUGUUAAGCGACAGGGGGUUGGAAGGACCGUAGUGAGCCCAAUAUCGAUUGAUUCUUACAUCAUUUAAGCUAAAAAAUGUUGAGAAUUUCUUUUUAUCAUUGUAGUUUAACUUGGGUUUAUCUUAACCUGUUGAGGUGUGAUCCAUGAACCCCUCUUAUAUUAUUGCCAGUCGCACUCCAAUGAUUAAAUUCCCCAGUCAUUCAUAAAGUAAACUCUCUGGUCCUGCAUGUAGUAAACUCUGUUGUGUUGCGGCUGCAAAGUUGGUGAUGAAGUGGGAAUCACUGUGUUAGCAGCUUAAAUUACUCAAAUUUUAGGCUGGAAAAGGGUUGCCUAUGGAUUGAUAUCAAAUUUGGAGUCUCGUGUGGGUCUUUUAAAGGAAUUUCUGCAAAGUAUUUAAUAAUUCUUUCACUGUGGUAAUGCCCUUAAAAACGAUCAGGAUUGAAGUUUGUUCUGUACUUGCUCUAUGUUGUAUUAGUUAUGGUAAAAAAAAUUUAUAAUUUUUAGAAGGAAAUCAUAUCCUUUGUUUUAUCUCUAUCACGAAGUACAGUUGGGAGGGCUAAAUCAUUUUACAGUUAUCAAGAUUAAUGAUAUACACAUUAAUCAGUAGUGUGCUGUUGAUGUCUCUUUCGAGUAAGAAUGAUUCAUAAUGGAAUAUAUCUAAGUUUCCUAUGGUAAUGUUGUAGCAUGUUUGGAUGGUCUGAAGCUUGUCAGGCAACCACAGAAGUCAUUACCAAGAGAAUUCACAACUGCUACACUUGUCCUGUUUUAUGACUCUCAAUAUCAUGUGAUCCCUUGUCUUCUUAUUGGUUCCUCAUUCUUUCUUCCUUUUAGGAAUGUAUUUUUUUGGGCUCUUUGUGCCACACAAAUGUGCAAUGUUGUAGGCAGUGAUUUUCUGCUCGUCUUAUUUGAUGGACUCCACUAUUAUUUGAUCGUUCGUAUUCUUGUUCCCUUCUACUUGUUCUCUCCUGUUGCGAAUGCCUUUUUUCUUUGCUUUGUUUGGGUGAAUUAAGCAUAAAAUAAAUAUUGUUACCUAAUAUUUACAUCUCGGUUGUUUGGUGUAGUUGAAGCCCAUAAAAAAAAUUAUAACAUACACAUAUUUUCUUAAAAUUGAAGUUUAUAAAUAUUAGGGUGUGUUCAUUAUUCAAUUUCUUGGUUUUUUCUUCAAGCCAAUCAAAAUAUAAAAAAUUUUUUUCCGCUCAAUUUCUCCUUAAUCAAACUGGCGGACAAAGACGAUUUUGGAUUCAUUUCCUUUAGUAUUUCAAUUUUGGAUUCAAAUUUUUAUUAUUAUUUUUUUGCUUCAGAGAGCCAUUGGGAUCAUAGAAUGUACUAGCUGUGGAUAUUGAUGAAUUUUGUCUAAGGUAAAUUUUUUCAUCAGUUUUGUAGAUGCAAUGAUGAUCAUGAUGGUGAAAGCUAACAUUACCUAUGUACUCAUUCGCUAUGGCUGUGAUUUUCCUCUUAUCUUUUAUUAAAGUUGCAAGUUGGCCAUUUAAAACUAAGUGUUGCAGAGAUGAGGAUACUCAAGUGCUUUACUUCAAGGUCGCAAAUUUUCAUCCUUAAGGUUCCAUCAAUACCAUGAAGCUACGAACCUCUGUAACACUGUUUCAUGUUGGUCAUUCCACAAUUGCUUUCAUUUUUUGUGAGUCUACUGAAAUUCUUUCACCACUGAUAAUAUGCUCCAAGAAGAUAAUAUUCAGUCAAAAUUUAUAUUUUGAAUAUAUUGAAUACAGCUGAUUUUUUCUUAGUGCCCAAAACUAUCCAUAAAUGCUCAUCUUGGCACUGAGUUGUGCUGUUAUAGGGCACAAAAGGGUGUAUUGAGGUAGGGUUGUAGGGCUUCCAGGCAAAACGCUAGUCAUUAUCUCCAUCUAUUCUGAUAAUUAUAGUUAUUGAUAUUU
Dendrobium catenatum is the source of this 3353-nucleotide long non-coding RNA. RefSeq lists it as uncharacterized. NCBI's taxonomy places the organism in Eukaryota, Viridiplantae, Streptophyta, Magnoliopsida, Asparagales, Orchidaceae. The transcript has 2 exons. The record is from RefSeq and is a predicted model, not a curated record.